AAGGGCUGGGAUAACUUCGGGAAACCGGAGCUAAUACCGGAUAAUAUAUUGAACCGCAUGGUUCAAUAGUGAAAGACGGUUUUGCUGUCACUUAUAGAUGGAUCCGCGCCGCAUUAGCUAGUUGGUAAAGUAACGGCUUACCAAGGCAACGAUGCGUAGCCGACCUGAGAGGGUGAUCGGCCACACUGGAACUGAGACACGGUCCAG
This 207-nucleotide ribosomal RNA is filed under the name uncultured Staphylococcus sp. RNAcentral's name for it is "partial 16S ribosomal RNA". It matches the Rfam family "Bacterial small subunit ribosomal RNA", at positions 133 to 334 of the family's 1533-position model. Lineage: Bacteria; Bacillati; Bacillota; Bacilli; Caryophanales; Staphylococcaceae. The record is from RNAcentral.